RNAcentral lists this ribosomal RNA (429 nucleotides) under bacterium. RNAcentral describes it as "partial 16S ribosomal RNA". It matches the Rfam family "Bacterial small subunit ribosomal RNA", at positions 355 to 776 of the family's 1533-position model. The record is from RNAcentral.
UAGGGAAUCUUCGGCAAUGGGGGCAACCCUGACCGAGCAACGCCGCGUGAGUGAAGAAGGUUUUCGGAUCGUAAAGCUCUGUUGUAAGAGAAGAACGUGUGUGAGAGUGGAAAGUUCACACAGUGACGGUAACUUACCAGAAAGGGACGGCUAACUACGUGCCAGCAGCCGCGGUAAUACGUAGGUCCCGAGCGUUGUCCGGAUUUAUUGGGCGUAAAGCGAGCGCAGGCGGUUUAAUAAGUCUGAAGUUAAAGGCAGUGGCUUAACCAUUGUUCGCUUUGGAAACUGUUAAACGUGAGUGCAGAAGGGGAGAGUGGAAUUCCAUGUGUAGCGGUGAAAUGCGUAGAUAUAUGGAGGAACACCGGUGGCGAAAGCGGCUCUCUGGUCUGUAACUGACGCUGAGGCUCGAAAGCGUGGGGAGCAAACAGG